UAGAUAGGGGUCCUGAGAGGGAGAUCCCCCACACUGGUACUGAGACACGGACCAGACUCCUACGGGAGGCAGCAGUGAGGAAUAUUGGACAAUGGGCGGGAGCCUGAUCCAGCCAUGCCGCGUGCAGGAAGACGGCCCUAUGGGUUGUAAACUGCUUUUACAGAGGAAGAAACACCCCGACGUGUCGGGACUUGACGGUACUCUGCGAAUAAGGAUCGGCUAACUCCGUGCCAGCAGCCGCGGUAAUACGGAGGAUCCAAGCGUUAUCCGGAAUCAUUGGGUUUAAAGGGUCCGUAGGCGGGACAAUCAGUCAGCGGUGAAAGUCUGUGGCUCAACCAUAGAAUUGCCAUUGAUACUGUUGUUCUUGAAUACUUAUGAAGUGGUUGGAAUAUGUAGUGUAGCGGUGAAAUGCAUAGA
RNAcentral lists this ribosomal RNA (417 nucleotides) under uncultured bacterium. RNAcentral's name for it is "bacterial SSU rRNA". It matches the Rfam family "Bacterial small subunit ribosomal RNA", at positions 280 to 694 of the family's 1533-position model. The record is from RNAcentral.